GCUGGCAGGCAGAGCCGCAUGCCCCGGGAGACAUGAAAAGCCGCCCCCAGCCCAGAGGGAAGUUUGCAGCGCUGGAGUGCCCGAGUGUCGCCGGCAGAUGGCACUGUGGUCGUUUCCAAGAGGGAGCUGGGGCUCUGGAAACGCGACUCCAAAUGGCAGGAACAGCUGCGCCGCGAACCCUGCGGGGAGCGUCAGGAAACGUUAACCCCCGUUUGCCAUGGCGCCUGGCGUGCGCGGAGCCCUGCAGAGCAGUCGUUGGGUGAACACGUGAGAAGACCGAGGGCUUAUGAGCAGUUGAGCUGGCCCCGGGACCCCACUCUUGCAGCCCAGCCGUCCUCCAGAGCCCCAGGCCUCUCCCGAUGCUGGCUUUAACUGACAGGCUGGGGCUGAAGACAAGACAACGGUGGAUCCCAUUCCAGGUCACUCGAGACAGGGAAACGAAAGCCUGGAGUGAUUAAACAAGCAGCUGAGGUCACGCAGCUGGUGAAUGAAAGGAUGCACGCCUCAGUACAGUCUGCCUGAUGCCAAAUUCUGGGGUUUUUUCCUUGUGCCAAGAGGGUGUAACCUGGGAGGUGCCGGGAGCUUCCCACCCCGAUUUUGUGGGGCUGGUGCUUCUCUGCAGUGCUGCUGAGCACCCAGGGAGGAAGGCAAGACACCCGAAGACUGAAACUCAGCCUGGCCCUGAGCCAAUGAGCCAGGUGUGGUGCAUGGUGGAAGGAUUUGGUUGUAAGUAACAGAAACCUGAAUUAAAAGAAAAACAACAGUUAAGGAGUCAUGCCCCAGGAAAGUUCAAGGGAGAAGAACAUGGUCUUCAGGUACAGUUGGAUCCAGGCUUUCACUGACUAGUCAUCAGGAAUUUCUUUUUCUUUUCCUGGUUCUUUUCCUCUGAGUGGUUUUCAUUCUCUGGCAGACUCUCCCUGUGUGUUGGCAAGGAUGGCCUCCAACAGCUAUGGGCCUACAUUGUCCUUAACACGUUAACUGCCAUGAGAGUUCUAUUUAACUCACUCUAGUUUUAACCCU
Molecule: non-coding RNA, 1020 nt
Organism: Microcebus murinus (gray mouse lemur)
Lineage: Eukaryota; Metazoa; Chordata; Mammalia; Primates; Cheirogaleidae
Source: RefSeq, a predicted model, not a curated record